GCACCUGAAUCUUUCCCAUUCCUGCUGCUUUGUGCUGGUCUUGGGGACAGAAGGUGCUAUACUAUCAGCAGAGGAUAUCCAGACGGGUUGUUUUCCAUUUACUUGGGGCCUGUCUCUACAACUCUGCCACAUUC
Molecule: small nucleolar RNA, 134 nt
Filed under: Castor canadensis (American beaver)
Lineage: Eukaryota; Metazoa; Chordata; Mammalia; Rodentia; Castoridae
Description: Small nucleolar RNA SNORA55 (ENSCCNG00000025529.1)
Rfam family: Small nucleolar RNA SNORA55
About the family: ACA55 is a member of the H/ACA class of snoRNA that guide the sites of modification of uridines to pseudouridines.
Source: Rfam by way of RNAcentral